Molecule: long non-coding RNA, 4138 nt
Organism: Lagopus muta (rock ptarmigan)
Lineage: Eukaryota; Metazoa; Chordata; Aves; Galliformes; Phasianidae
Exons: 2
Source: RefSeq, a predicted model, not a curated record
GGCUGUGCAGUUUUUCUAUUGCCUUUGACAACAUUUUAUCUGGGUAAACAAAACUGAGCCUUCUUACGAAGCAGAUAUGAAUUUGCCUUCAAAACUCACGAUGAAUUUUGAUUUCAGAUUUCUUUGUGUAAUAAUGCAUACUCUGAUUUGCUGUCGAUUAGAAGCUUAAAUGCAAUAUUGCCAUUUAAUGCAUCUUUCAUCUGCAGCGAAAGCAAGCCGUAUCCCACGCCUCUGAUUGCACACCAAGAGAAACUCCUGACCGCCGCCUGGCAGAGCCCCUCCUCGCCUCUCAUCCCUCGUCCUGGAGAUCAGCCCGUGCCGUUGCAUUUAUGUGACUGAAGGUCUCAGCUGAUCCGUUCUUUUCUUGUGCAGCCAAGAGGUUUGCAGCAGCAGCAGCAGCAGCAGCCACGGCCAGUACCAUACUGUAAGUCAUUGGGCACAUUUUUUUUCUCUCAGUUUGGAAGGGGUUGGCAUUUGGUGUAUUCAGUUCCAUAGCACUUAACAUAUUUUUCUCGCACAGGCAAUGAACUGUAUCUCUUAGGCUGGGGCUGUGUGCUGCUCAGCAAGAUGCAGCAGUGUGGUGCCUGCUUUAUAGCAGCAGCAUGAAUGAAUGAUGCAAUCAUGCAGGGGGGAAGCAUCAUCAUUUUGGCAGGAGAGGCAAGAGGAGAUUGGAGAGCUGGGAGAUGUCUAUCAACAUCCACCAGGUUCCUCCAGCCCUUUUCAGCAACCUUUUAAAAUGUGCUUCAAUAAAUUUGUUGCUGGCAUUGCUGUACAGAUAUCAGCGUGCAGCUGCUAACAAUCCAUCUCUUGACUUGCACAAAGGUUGCUGAUACUACCUUUAAAAUCUGAACAUAAAACCUGGAAGUUAGAAGCAGCCUGGGUGAGUUUAAGGACUGAAUGUUUCUAUUUUCAUAUCAAAAACCACAGAAACUCCCAGUUUUGGAUGGGUUGAACUUUUAAAGUACUUGCAGGAAUACAUAGCAACAAUUUGCUUAAGUAUAGCUAAUGUGUUUUGAUUUAUAAUCUCUCUUCUUAAGCUUUCAGAACACACUGCGAAUAUUGAGAAUUAAACCUUAACAUAACAAAGAUGUAUUUCCAUUCUAAUCCCAUUUUACAGACAUAGGACUAGCAACAAUGAGGGACUAACAGCUUUGUUUAAACUGCUACCAUGUAAGCUCUGCUGUGGAUAUUCUCAUGAGCAGAAUCAUACCUGGGGUGGGAAAGGUCCUAAGAAAAGAUUCAAGAACAAACUUCUCUGACUCCCAUCCUCUAAGCAGCAGUUUCCUAUCACUGCAAUGGGAACAGUUUUAUGUGGUUGCGUUUCUGUUAAUUUCAGUGCAUGUUCAAUGAAACACUACUGGGCUUGAGAACGUAUCUCACAGUGACUUUGUUCUCAUCCAAACCAGUGAGACUGACUUCACUGGUGCCAGGAAAACAACUCUGGGCAAAGUGAGAACAAAAUUGGUCGUCUUGUGCACCCGUAGCUGAAGUGCUCAUGCUCACAGUUAAAUGUGAAAGUGAAUCAGAAUCACAAACAUUGCUUGCACACUGAGGAUAUUCCUGAAUGAUCCGUUUAAAAAGAUAUUUUAAGUAGUAUUUCAUCAAGAUCUACUUAAUGUUCCUUCUUUCCCAUAGCAGUAGGUGUGAAUAUAAUACAAAGUGCCAGUUGACAGCAACUCUGAAAGCUCACAGGUGGAGACGCACUGGAUAUGUUAAGAUCUCAUCAAAUUCUCAUCAAAAUGCAGCUGCCACAGAACACACAGAGUUCUGGGUGUCACUGCAGGUUCCUUUUCCAUUACAGCUAGCAGAUACUGCAGAUGUUCCAGCUUUUCACAGUGUGGCACAUGCCCUUCUUUGACCCGUCAGCAAACAGAAAAGAUUACAGUUGUUUUCCUUUAGCAUGUGUUCUUACAUAAUUAUUAGGCCUGCUUCUGUGACUCCACCCUCUCUGUUACGAAAGAGAUCCUAUUUCUUGUGGAAAUGCCAGUUUUUUUCCAAGUGUUCUAAUGCAGUCUGCAGGCACAUAGAUCUCAUGGAAAUGCCAUUUUCCCUUUUGAUUUCCUUUUUGUCCAUUUGCUUCUCAACUUUCAUCCUACCUCUUUCCCUUUGUCACUUUUCUUACACCUUCUCCAGCUUUUUCUUUGUCCAUUGCUUUGUCUCUUUCCAAUUUUCUUCCUUCAUCUUUUCCCCACUAUAUUUCAUUAUCAAACCUGUUGAAAUGUUUGCUGCAUGGAUACUUUUCCAGCAUGGAAAUAAUAGAAUAGAAAUAGAUUUCCUAUUUGAAGUACAGUGGCUGAGCCUGCAGAGAUUUUCUACCCACCUUUUUUCAUACAGAGGCAGAACUCAUAAUUAUCAGUUGUGGGAAUUUCUUUCUUCUUACCAUCUCAUAAAAGCAUUGAUGCAUCUAAGCAAUCAGAUGGUCCGUGUUUCAGAGUAACUGAAUCUCUCCCAUCCACAGAGGCCCAUAACACUCUGGAAUUAAAAACUGUUAUUCCUUUACUAAAUCCUUUAGAGAUUUGCCCAUGGAGAAGUUUUGCAGAACUUCAAUUCUGUUUCCCCACAUUUCCAGAUGACACCUACCUGUAGAUAAGAAUCACAGAAUAUCUUGAGUUGGAGACCCACAAGGACCAUCGAGUCCUGCUCCUGGCUCCAUAUAGGAACACCCAAAAAUCAGACUCUUUUUGAGCUCCAGUGGCUCAGUGCUGUGACCACUGCCCUGGAAGCUUGUUGCAGUGCCUGACCACCCUCUCAGUGAAGAACCUCUUCCUGAUAGCCAACAUGAAUUUUCCCUGUUGCAACUUCAUUGGAUGAUUGAGCCCAACUCCUGACUUCACACAGGGCAACAUGAGUUAAACCAUUUAGCUAGGUGUCCAAACACUUGAACACCUAAAGGCUUGGGGCCAAGCCAUGACCACUUCCCUGGCCACACGAGCUACUUUGUCUGUCCUUAUUUCCCUUGCAAAGUUACCUGGUGCUGAAUUCUAGGCAGUUUCCUGCUCAGUGCCAUGGCAGGAUGACCUGGUGAAAAUUCUGAAAACAAAGAAAGGAGCAGACCCUCUUCUACCUGUACUUCCCUUACUCCUGUGGCCUGUUGCUCAAUCAUAACUAGCCUUGCCUUAUGCUCUCAUUUACAUUUAGGCUUUGGAAAAAAAAAUUCACAAGUCACUGAAUUGGGUAUGUUAGUGUUUGGAGUGGCGUUUGCUAACCUCUGGAGGUGAUGGUCAGCCCUCGAGCUUUGCCGACCACAGCAGAAGCACUUUACUUCACUCCAAGCUAACAACCUUUAACUCCUAAUAUUUGUUUUUCUCACGAGCAAGACUCCCUGCAACAGCUGAAACUUCCCCAAAUGUUCUCCAGUACUGUUGAUCCAAUACAAAUUUCACCAUUUUAUAGUUGAUCACAAGGUCUCCAACUUGUGUGAUGAUACAUUUCCUACAAAUGAGCCUGCGUUUUCUAGGACUCAAUGCCUACCUUCAGUUGAACAUAGAAGGAUUCUGGCAAGUCAUACACCAAGGCAGAUCAGGAACUAUUGCUCUGUUCUGCAUUUCAAAAACACAAUUCUUCCAUUACAAUUUGACAUUUUUAGGCAUUAUAAACCAUAGCCUGUAACUCUUCAGGAAGAAUCAUUGUGUAGAACAAAAAGAAGACAGAGUUAAUUCCAGCCACAGUUUUGUGCAUGUAUCCAUCGAAAUGAGGCUCAAGCAGCGUUUUCAUCAUUGUAAGGAAUAUUUAAAGGAGAAUUAAGUAUGAGAAAUGGGGUAGCAGGGAGAAGGAAAAGUUAAUGUCUCCUCCUUCCUCCUCCCAGUGUGUCUAACUAUAACAUUUUUAUCAGAUUAAAAUUGUGAAGACGUUUCCAAAAAUACAUUUCAAGUUCUCACCAAGGAAUCACAUAACAGUGCUGUCACCACGCAGCCAUAUUGCAUCAUACUAUGGUAAUGUUGCAGUGCAGCCUCAGGUUAGCAUGAGGCAAUGUGACUGCUUUGCAUAAUAAGGAAUCAGUGUUGGAACAACAUGACGCAAAUGUCACACAACAGUGAUGCAACAAGUUUGUCCAGUAGAGCAAAUCCUGAAAAUUGGCACCAAACCCAUGGCUAAAUUCUUUAUAAUUUCCAGUAAGCUGGAAAAAAAAAACACAAAA